CAGCCGCCGCGGUAAAACGGAGGGUGCAAGCGUUAAUCGGAAUUACUGGGCGUAAAGCGUGCGUGGGUGGUUCGUUAAGUCUGUUGUGAAAGCCCCGGGCUCAACCUGGGAAUGGCAAUGGAUACUGGCGAGCUAGAGUGUGUCAGAGGAUGGUGGAAUUCCCGGUGUAGCGGUGAAAUGCGUAGAGAUCGGGAGGAACAUCAGUGGCGAAGGCGGCCAUCUGGGACAACACUGACGCUGAGGCACGAAAGCGUGGGGAGCAAACAGGAUUAGAUACCCCCGUAGUCCCUGUCUCUUAUAC
RNAcentral lists this ribosomal RNA (301 nucleotides) under uncultured bacterium. RNAcentral describes it as "partial 16S ribosomal RNA". It matches the Rfam family "Bacterial small subunit ribosomal RNA", at positions 509 to 807 of the family's 1533-position model. The record is from RNAcentral.